This is a long non-coding RNA of Limulus polyphemus (Atlantic horseshoe crab), 1348 nucleotides long. RefSeq lists it as uncharacterized. The transcript is spliced from 5 exons. NCBI's taxonomy places the organism in Eukaryota, Metazoa, Arthropoda, Merostomata, Xiphosura, Limulidae. The record is from RefSeq and is a predicted model, not a curated record.
ACAGUUAAAUUACAGGAAUACCACCAGAAUCAAAACCCACAAGAUCAGUUAGAAAAUGGAAAAUACAGAAGAAUGUCACUGAAAUCACUAAGUAUCAGAGCUUAGAGCCCGUCCUGAUAAAAGAUAUUUUAGCCAAAGCUUCACCUGGUGUUUUUAAAGUGUGUGGCUUUGUUAUUGGAGUUGAUCCUCCUGUCGACCCUGUUGAAGAGUUUUUACACUUGUACUGUCCAGUAUGCAAUUACAUAUCAGAAGAUAUCAAGUGUAAUGUUGGCUAUUUUCGAGAAGAAAAUGGAGUUCGUUUGUACUCUUGUCCCCAGUGUGCAAACGUGCCUUCCACAUCAUCUAGUGCUGUCAAGCCUCUUCCUCAGCUGGAAUAUACCUUUCUAUUAAAACUACAACUCAGGGAUAAAUCUGGUCAACUAGAAGCAUUUUUGUGGGAGAAACAUGCUGAGAAUUUCUUCGGAGGGGUGAAACCUCGUGAAUUGCUAGAAAGUGACAUGACAUCUAUUUCUAAAAUCCGGCAAUACCUUCAGAAAAUCUGCAUUCGAUCAGGUCCAAAAACUACAUCGACGAAUAAGAGUCGAACAUUCCCGCUAUUGGAGUGUAUUAUUGUGUCUUAUGAAUGUAACUCAAAUAUAAGACAUGCCAUUCAACAUACAGCUCUCAAAUUAGAGCUUCUAGAGUAGAGUGUUAUAUUUUUAACAGAAUAAUGGAGAUAUACUGUUUCAUGAAACUUUGUAAUUUAUCUCAAACGAGAACAUUCUGAGGUAGUUCAUUAUUUAUAUACCAUUUGUUGAAGAUUUAGUUGAUUUUAAGUAAGUAAUGUUACUGUAUUGUCAAGAGAUUAUACUAAAUCCUGUAAAAAACGUUUUGUAAAAACAUGUUAUAUAGCCUAGAACAUACAUUACUGGUCUGAAAAAAUAUGACACUUAUAAGAAACAUACAUUGUUACCCUUAAGGUAUUUGACUCUUGACAGGAAACAUACAUUGCUAUCCUAAGAUCUUUGACUCUUUAACAGAAAACAUGCAUUGUUAUCCUAAGAUACUUGACUCUUAACAGGAAGGAUACACUGUUACACUUAAGGUUUUUGACUCUUGACAGGAACAUUAUCCUAAGAUAUUUGGCUCUUGAUAAGAAACGUACAUUGUCACUCUUAAGAUACUUGACUCUUUAACAGAAAACAUGCAUUGGUAUCCUAAGAUACUUGACUAUUAACAGUAAGGAUACAUUGUUACACUUAAUAUAUUUGACACUUGACAGGAAACAUGCAUUGUUACACUUAAUAUAUUUGACACUUGACAGGAAACAUGCAUUGUUACACUUAAUAUAUUUGACACUUGACAGGAA